GCUGGGCGUGGCCGGUGGAGGGGGCGCGCCUGCUGGCGGUGGGCGCCGCGCUCGCGGCGGCGCGGCCGCUCGGGACCGCGGCCAGCG
This 87-nucleotide transfer RNA is filed under the name Anaeromyxobacter diazotrophicus. RNAcentral describes it as "tRNA-Ala". Lineage: Bacteria; Pseudomonadati; Myxococcota; Myxococcia; Myxococcales; Anaeromyxobacteraceae. The record is from RNAcentral.